GCAAGAUUAAAACUCAAAGGAAUAGACGGGGACCCGCACAAGUGGUGGAGCAUGUGGUUUAAUUCGAAGAUACGCGAAGAACCUUACCUAGCCUUGACAUAUUUUAGAACUCCGUAGAGAUACAGAGGUGCCUUCGGGAGCUAAUUUACAGGUGCUGCACGGCUGUCGUCAGCUCGUGUCGUGAGAUGUUGGGUUAAGUCCCGCAACGAGCGCAACCCUCGUCACUAGUUACUAACGGUUCGGCCGAGGGCUCUAGUGAGACUGCCUUCGUAAGGAGGAGGAAGGUGAGGACGACGUCAAGUCAUCAUGGCCCUUACGGCUAGGGCAACACACGUGCUACAAUGGUUGGGACAGUGAGACGCGAUACCGCGAGGUGGAGCAAAUCUAUAAACCCAAUCUCAGUUCGGAUUGUAGUCUGCAACUCGACUACAUGAAGCUGGAAUCACUAGUAAUCGUAGAUCAGCUAUGCUACGGUGAAUACGUUCCCGGGUCUUGUACUCACCGCCCGUCACACCAUGGGAGUUGAUUUCACCCGAAGCGGGGAAGCUAAACUGGCUACCCUCCACGGUGGAAUUAGCGACUGGGGUGAAGUCGUAACAAGGUA
This 604-nucleotide ribosomal RNA is filed under the name uncultured bacterium. RNAcentral's name for it is "bacterial SSU rRNA". It matches the Rfam family "Bacterial small subunit ribosomal RNA", at positions 888 to 1498 of the family's 1533-position model. The record is from RNAcentral.